RNAcentral lists this ribosomal RNA (301 nucleotides) under uncultured bacterium. RNAcentral describes it as "partial 16S ribosomal RNA". It matches the Rfam family "Bacterial small subunit ribosomal RNA", at positions 509 to 808 of the family's 1533-position model. The record is from RNAcentral.
CAGCCGCCGCGGUAAAACGAAGGGGGCUAGCGUUGCUCGGAAUGACUGGGCGUAAAGGGCGCGUAGGCGGCGAUCAAAGUCAGGCGUGAAAUUCCUGGGCUCAACCUGGGGGCUGCGCUUGAUACUUGGUUGCUUGAGUAUGGGAGAGGUGAGUGGAAUCUCCGGUGUAGCGGUGAAAUGCGUAGAUAUCGGAAGGAAUACCUGUGGCGAAAGCGGCUCACUGGACCAUAACUGACGCUGAUGCACGAAAGCUAGGGGAGCAAACAGGAUUAGAUACCCCUGUAGUCCCUGUCUCUAUACA